Molecule: ribosomal RNA, 334 nt
Filed under: uncultured soil bacterium
Lineage: Bacteria
Description: bacterial SSU rRNA
Rfam family: Bacterial small subunit ribosomal RNA
Source: RNAcentral
AGAACGAACGCUGGCGGCAUGCCUAAUACAUGCAAGUCGAACGAACACUUCGGUGUUAGUGGCGCACGGGUGCGUAACGCGUGGGAAUCUGCCCUUGGGUUCGGAAUAACAGUUGGAAACGACUGCUAAUACCGGAUGAUAUCGAAAGAUCAAAGAUUUAUCGCCCAGGGAUGAGCCCGCGUAGGAUUAGCUAGUUGGUGAGGUAAAGGCUCACCAAGGCGACGAUCCUUAGCUGGUCUGAGAGGAUGAUCAGCCACACUGGGACUGAGACACGGCCCAGACCUCCGUACGGGAGGCAGCGAGUAGGGAAUUAGUUAGGACAAGUCGGGCGACG